CUUCAACACACAGGCACAACUCAUGCUUUUGUCAUGGUGACCCUCUUCAGGGCAGCCAUGAUUGCACUUGGUGGGAAAGAGAAAGACUGAAUUGGAGAGGAAUUUACUGUGAAUUAGUCAUGAGAGUGAUGACUACCCAGACGAAAUUAAGGGUAAGGAGAUGAUACAGGGACAUCUGCUCAGUAGCACAUCUUUCGUGUGGGUGACCUUCUUCACACAGGCUCCCUCCCACAGUUUAUUGGUUCUAUAUUUUACUGGGAGAGAAAGGAGGUUAUAAAUACUCACAAGAAUCUGAG
This 296-nucleotide long non-coding RNA is filed under the name Capra hircus (goat). RNAcentral describes it as "lncRNA (ENSCHIG00000008006.1)". The record is from RNAcentral. Lineage: Eukaryota; Metazoa; Chordata; Mammalia; Artiodactyla; Bovidae.